Molecule: non-coding RNA, 2087 nt
Organism: Cyanistes caeruleus (blue tit)
Lineage: Eukaryota; Metazoa; Chordata; Aves; Passeriformes; Paridae
Source: RefSeq, a predicted model, not a curated record
GGAGAGCAGUCUCCACCAAUGGGCAGUGAAGAAGAGUUGAUUGGCAACCUCUGGGCAGGGCCAGGACUGCCUGAGGCAACCCCCAGGGGUAUAAAAGGCAGGGCAGCCUUUUUGUGGGUUUAAUAAACCUUUGAAAUUUUAAAAGAAGGAGGUCGUUUCUCAUACGGGCCUUCCAGUUUUUCAGCCCUGGCAUUAGUGCAGCUGUGAGGAAGAUGGACAUGGAGGUGUACUGCAAUUCUUCCACCAGAUAAUAAGCCACUGACAGAUAAUCAGUCAGGUCUGGACCUGCCAACUGUCUGAAGCUCUGUAUGCAAAGUGUUCUGCAGAUACCACCUGGUGUUUACUUGACGGUACAACCUGAAGCUAUUGCAUCACCUGUGAAGUGGGGAGCAUUUGGCACAGGACCAACAUAUUGCAAGUAAUUGGGUGGAUGUUUUAGCCGGCAUUAGCCAUGACAUCAGGAGGGCAGAAGAGUGCCCUCCUGUUCAUGAAAGGACUUGUUAACUUGAUGUCGAUGGCUGCUUGCUCUCUUAUCAGGCUCCACAGGAUCAAGGACUCCCUGCUAUUCGCUAUAGAAGCCUCACUGUUGUGUCAAAGUCCUUUGCAUGGGGUCUGAAUGCUUUCAUUAACAUUUCAAGCCAGCAUUGUUACAUUGGUUCAGAAGAUGGAAUGGUAAAAUAAAAAACACUGAAAUGUUUAAAUUCCUACAUUUUUAUUUGCAAGAAGAGUCACAAGGGAUCAAGACACACACUGUAGCUCCUGAACAGGCAACAGAUAGAUGCCAUAACCAGAUUCUGCUCACUCUGAAGCUUCAUGUGGAAAUGCUGCAUCCUUCUUCAUGCAAAAGAGCCUGGCUUCCUGGAAAGGCCAAAGAGAGCAACAUUAGAGAAAAUACUAACCCUACGAACAUGAGGAUAAUGCCACUUACAAAAGUAACUCCAUUAAUGCAUGAAGGUGUCUGAAAGUUGAGGCUAUAAGACAGCAGUGAAUUUAAUGCCAGAUAUUUAGAGGAGGCAGGGGAGCAGUCUUAAGUAUUUUCUUCACUUGAUAGAACUAUCAGGUAUAAAAAACAGUAACAAAACCAACAAAAACCAAAGAAACAUUCCCCUUCCUCCCCCCACGAAAAAAGCCCCAAAACAACCAAAUCAAGAAAUAAAGGUUAUGUCUCAGUAGUUUUAACCUGGUUCACUUGUAAAGAUAUUGGUGUACUUAAAAAAAAUCUGCAAUGCAAAGAUGAAGUUACAGGAAUAGUGAAUUCACAAAAAAAAAAUACGAAGUUACCUUAUGAAGUUAGUUAAGAUAAUUACAAUUAUGGUUUUGGAACACAUGGGGAAGGGAAGUAAACCAUUCCCUAUAGAUGGCAUAUGUAUUAUGGGAAAAAGUGAUUCCCUCCUCCAGUUUUAAGUAACUACCAGGAAAGGAAGUGUGAAGGUACAAUAUACAAGAAUUUGCAAAAGCAAGUUGCCAGACUUUUUUUUUUCCUGUAAACAGUAUCAAACAUUUUAAAAACAUCACUUUCAUUAUUUUAGAAAAGUAUUUUCUAGCCUAAAAAGCUUCAUAUGUUUUCUCUCUAAUCUGCCUUUAUUUCACUCCUUUUUUGCGCAUGAAAUUCCUCUGCCAUAACCUUACACUGCUGCAUAUACAAAAAUGAAUUAGUUUGACGGGGAGGUUUUGGUGAAAUAUAGUAAUGAAAGUGAAGUAAAUCCUCUGCUUAUCAUCCAAGAAAAAAAUGGUGUAUUCCACUCUCUGAGCUUUAACAUCGUACGCCCUGCAGCAAGUAAUUUACAGACGAUCAGCACCUUGCUACUCUCUCCUCUCAUUUCCCUACUUGAACUCCCUUCAUUAACCCAGCAAUUUGCAAUGGCAUUGGGUGGUGGAUUUAUCAUAGGACCUGCUCCAAAUUGGUCUCUGGCGGCAAUAGAGCCAAAAGGAAAUUGAAUUUCUCGUGUGAAAGUCUCUUUUUCUUUUUCCCUUUUUAGUUUUCUCUUGUCUUAAAAUGUAAUAUCAUUACCAUGACUCAGAUCUGGUUAAUGACUUAGCUAGAUGGUCAAUGUACUAAAAUAUCUACAAUAAAUCAUGUAUUGACU